GUAGUAUUCCCUCCGUCCCAAAAUUCUUGUCUUACAUUUGUUUACAUACGGAUGUAUCUAACACUAAAAUGUAACUAGAUACAUCCAUAUGUAGACAAAUUUAAGACAAGAAUUUUGGGACGGAGGGAGUACAAA
Molecule: non-coding RNA, 135 nt
Organism: Triticum aestivum (bread wheat)
Lineage: Eukaryota; Viridiplantae; Streptophyta; Magnoliopsida; Poales; Poaceae
Source: Rfam